GGGCUUAUGAUGAAAAAAUCAUAUAUCUUAGCGGAUUUCAGUGAGAUUUUAUUAUCAAUGAUCUGAAUGUUACACACACUGAGGCCC
Impatiens glandulifera is the source of this 87-nucleotide small nucleolar RNA. RefSeq annotates it as small nucleolar RNA R11/Z151. Lineage: Eukaryota; Viridiplantae; Streptophyta; Magnoliopsida; Ericales; Balsaminaceae. The transcript has a single exon. The record is from RefSeq and is a predicted model, not a curated record.